RNAcentral lists this long non-coding RNA (291 nucleotides) under Nicotiana benthamiana. RNAcentral's name for it is "long non-coding RNA (NBEN_LNC002232)". The record is from RNAcentral. Lineage: Eukaryota; Viridiplantae; Streptophyta; Magnoliopsida; Solanales; Solanaceae.
UCAAGUACUAUCUAUAGAUAAGAAAAUCAAGUUGUUAAAAGGCAAGGAAAGAAUUGGAAAAUCUUUCCCAGCUGCACGAAUGGCACUUUUCCUUUGGGGGUAUACAAGUAAGGUAACUAGUAGAAAAGCCACUUUGACAACAUAAGAGAAGAAUCUUCGUAGAAAAAUUCUGCCGACAGAUAGAUGGGAACUAAUCAAUCAAGCAAAAGGAUUGAGUUGACCAAUUGGACCUGCAGUGUUGUGUUUAAUUCAAAAUCAUCAUCCAAGCUUUCUCCUUUGUCUAAUUUAUUG